UAUGGAAGUCUUGAAGAAGAAAAGCUAUCUUAAUGAAGGUUCUGUUAAUAUCAUUAUUUAUUAUAACUCAGUUAGCGGAUUAUAUUUUCGCGGAAGAAAAUUGCCUUGGCCGACCAAUUUUUCAGCUUUGCUCCGGCGGUUCCGAUAAAGGCAAUAAAUUAGGAAUAACAUGUAAAUUGAGAGCCAUGAAUCGAAUGUGGUAUUAUGGUUCGAGAAGAAAAACAUGCCUCAAAAUGAAAUAUCUGGGCUGUGGUGGAAAUAAUAAUCGCUAUUGUUCCAUGGAUCACUGUCUUCAAAGUUGUGCUCCCAAAUUAAACUCCAGCCCGAACACUGGCAAUUUAUGUAAUAUGUCAUAAAAAGCUUCAUUUAAAAUACAAUUUUUAACCAAAGAA
Molecule: long non-coding RNA, 392 nt
Organism: Drosophila ananassae
Lineage: Eukaryota; Metazoa; Arthropoda; Insecta; Diptera; Drosophilidae
Exons: 2
Source: RefSeq, a predicted model, not a curated record